GUGCCGAUAGCUUAAGUGGUUAAAGCGUGGAAGUGAAGUUUCCGAUACGGCGGUUCGACUCCGUCUCAGCACA
RNAcentral lists this transfer RNA (73 nucleotides) under Cryptococcus neoformans x Cryptococcus deneoformans. RNAcentral's name for it is "Cryptococcus neoformans AD hybrid tRNA-Phe". It matches the Rfam family "tRNA". Rfam says of the family: Transfer RNA (tRNA) molecules are approximately 80 nucleotides in length. Their secondary structure includes four short double-helical elements and three loops (D, anti-codon, and T loops). Further hydrogen bonds mediate the characteristic L-shaped molecular structure. tRNAs have two regions of fundamental functional importance: the anti-codon, which is responsible for specific mRNA codon recognition, and the 3' end, to which the tRNAs corresponding amino acid is attached (by aminoacyl-tRNA synthetases). tRNAs cope with the degeneracy of the genetic code in two manners: having more than one tRNA (with a specific anti-codon) for a particular amino acid; and 'wobble' base-pairing, i.e. permitting non-standard base-pairing at the 3rd anti-codon position. RNAcentral also lists the same sequence under 2 other names. Lineage: Eukaryota; Fungi; Basidiomycota; Tremellomycetes; Tremellales; Cryptococcaceae. The record is from RNAcentral.